CCGCCCUUCAGUGCUGCAGCUAACGCAUUAAGCACUCCGCCUGGGGAGUACGACCGCAAGGUUGAAACUCAAAGGAAUUGACGGGGGCCCGCACAAGCGGUGGAGCAUGUGGUUUAAUUCGAAGCUACGCGAAGAACCUUACCAGGUCUUGACAUCUUCUGCCAAUCUUAGAGAUAAGACGUUCCCUUCGGGGACAGAAUGACAGGUGGUGCAUGGUUGUCGUCAGCUCGUGUCGUGAGAUGUUGGGUUAAGUCCCGCAACGAGCGCAACCCUUAUUAUCAGUUGCCAGCAUUCAGUUGGGCACUCUGGUGAGACUGCCGGUGACAAACCGGAGGAAGGUGGGGAUGACGUCAAAUCAUCAUGCCCCUUAUGACCUGGGCUACACACGUGCUACAAUGGACGGUACAACGAGUCGCGAAGUCGUGAGGCUAAGCUAAUCUCUUAAAGCCGUUCUCAGUUCGGAUUGUAGGCUGCAACUCGCCUACAUGAAGUUGGAAUCGCUAGUAAUCGCGGAUCAGCAUGCCGCGGUGAAUACGUUCCCGGGCCUUGUACACACCGCCCGUCACACCAUGAGAGUUUGUAACACCCAAAGCCGGUGAGAUAACCUUCGGGAG
This 614-nucleotide ribosomal RNA is filed under the name Levilactobacillus brevis. RNAcentral's name for it is "bacterial SSU rRNA". It matches the Rfam family "Bacterial small subunit ribosomal RNA", at positions 833 to 1448 of the family's 1533-position model. Lineage: Bacteria; Bacillati; Bacillota; Bacilli; Lactobacillales; Lactobacillaceae. The record is from RNAcentral.